CUAGGCAAGUGAGUAUACCUAUCAAUGGUAUACGAAUGAUAGAAGCUUAUCUACAGCUCUUUUUUGACUUACUUAUAGCCCUACGGAAAGUUAAGUAGUUAUCUAAAGUGUAGCUAAUGCAGAGCAGCAAGUGUAGCUAGGGGCUAAGGAGCUAAAGUAGCUAUUGAAGCUAGGAGUUCUUGUUCCUGCUUGAGUGAGUAGUUCGGGGGAAAUGUUGCUAAGAGCUCUGCUGUUUUAGCAGUUAUUGUAGCUAUUGUUGUUUGAACUAAGCAAGUGUAGCUAACCUCGCAUUCUGUAGCUGAAAGCGCUAUUCAAUGUUGCAGUUGCUUCUAACUAUUAGCUCUUGUUGCCUAAGUGAAGUGAAAACAGCUUGUUUGGCUUCUAAUCUAGCAAGGAAGCAGAGGGGCCCGUAUGCUGAUGAGCGAGUGAAUCUUGCUUGUUGUUAAUACUAGCUAGGUGUCUUAGCAAGUAUAGCUAUUUUUCGUUUUAUAUAGCAGCAAACCCAUUUUCUUACCAGAGAUGCUUGAACAAGUCUACUUUUUUCGUUUUGGAAAAGCUACCUUGCUUACAGUAAAGUCUCUCUCAUAUGGCAGACAAACAGAAAAAAGCUAGUGA
This 615-nucleotide long non-coding RNA is filed under the name Nicotiana benthamiana. RNAcentral's name for it is "long non-coding RNA (NBEN_LNC017972)". The record is from RNAcentral. Lineage: Eukaryota; Viridiplantae; Streptophyta; Magnoliopsida; Solanales; Solanaceae.